ACCAGACUCCUACGGGAGGCAGCAGUGGGGAAUAUUGCACAAUGGGGGAAACCCUGAUGCAGCGACGCCGCGUGAGUGAAGAAGUAUUUCGGUAUGUAAAGCUCUAUCAGCAGGGAAGAAAAUGACGGUACCUGAUUAAGAAGCCCCGGCUAACUACGUGCCAGCAGCCGCGGUAAUACGUAGGGGGCAAGCGUUAUCCGGAUUUACUGGGUGUAAAGGGAGCGUAGGCGGCAGGGCAAGUCUGGAGUGAAAGCCCGGGGCCCAACCCCGGGACUGCUUUGGAAACUGCCAUGCUAGAGUGCUGGAGAGGUAAGCGGAAUCCCUAGUGUAGCGGUGAAAUGCGUAGAUAUUAGGAGGAACACCAGUGGCGAAGGCGGCUUACUGGACAGUAACUGACGUUGAGGCUCGAAAGCGUGGGGAGCAAACAGGAUUAGAUACCCGAGUA
RNAcentral lists this ribosomal RNA (445 nucleotides) under uncultured bacterium. RNAcentral describes it as "bacterial SSU rRNA". It matches the Rfam family "Bacterial small subunit ribosomal RNA", at positions 330 to 792 of the family's 1533-position model. The record is from RNAcentral.